RNAcentral lists this ribosomal RNA (468 nucleotides) under uncultured bacterium. RNAcentral's name for it is "partial 16S ribosomal RNA". It matches the Rfam family "Bacterial small subunit ribosomal RNA", at positions 28 to 507 of the family's 1533-position model. The record is from RNAcentral.
GACGAACGCUGGCGGCGUGCUUAACACAUGCAAGUCGAACGGAAAGGCCCUGCUUUUGUGGGGUUCUCGAGUGGCGAACGGGUGAGUAACACGUGAGUAACCUGCCCUUGACUUUCGGAUAACUUCAGGAAACUGGGGCUAAUACCGGAUAUGAGCUCCUGCUGCAUGGUGGGGGUUGGAAAGUUUCGGCGGUUGGGGAUGGACUCGCGGCUUAUCAGCUUGUUGGUGGGGUAGUGGCUUACCAAGGCUUUGACGGGUAGCCGGCCUGAGAGGGUGACCGGCCACAUGGGGACUGAGAGACGGCCCAGACUCCUACGGGAGGCAGCGGUGGAGAAUCUUGCGCAGUGAGCGGGAGCCUGAUACAGCAACGCCGCGAGCGGAAAGACGGCCUUCGGGUUGUGAACCAAUUUCGCCUGUGACAAAGCGUGAGUGACGGUAAUGAGUAAAGAAGCACCGGCUAACUACGUG